UUGGAAUGCAGGAUCUGCCACACCAA
Molecule: non-coding RNA, 26 nt
Filed under: Homo sapiens (human)
Lineage: Eukaryota; Metazoa; Chordata; Mammalia; Primates; Hominidae
Source: RNAcentral